Molecule: ribosomal RNA, 311 nt
Filed under: uncultured bacterium SY2-74
Lineage: Bacteria; Bacillati; Actinomycetota; Actinomycetes; Micrococcales; Micrococcaceae
Description: bacterial SSU rRNA
Rfam family: Bacterial small subunit ribosomal RNA
Source: RNAcentral
AGAGUUUGAUCAUGGCUCAGGAUGAACGCUGGCGGUAUGCUUAACACAUGCAAGUCGAACGGUCUUUUCGGAGACAGUGGCGGACGGGUGAGUAACGCGUAAGAAUCUACCCUCAGGUCGGGGACAACCACUGGAAACGGUGGCUAAUACCGGAUGUGCCGAGAGGUGAAAGGCUUGCUGCCUGGGGAAGAGCUUGCGUCUGAUUAGCUAGUUGGUAGUGUAAGAGACUACCAAGGCGACGAUCAGUAGCUGGUCUGAGAGGAUGAUCAGCCACACUGGGACUGAGACACGGCCCAGACUCCUACGGGAGG